GGUAGUAAAAGUCGUAACAAGGUUUCCGUAGGUGAACCUGCGGAAGGAUCAUUCAUAAUAAAGUGUUUUAUGGCACUUUUUAAAAAUCCAUACCCACCUUGUGUGCAAUGUUAGAUCUCGUCAAUCUUGGCGAGAUUUUUAUACAUCAACUCAUUCUUUAACUAAUUUGUCUGAAAAGUAUUAUGAAUGCUUAAUUCAAAAUACAACUUUCAACAACGGAUCUCUUGGCUCUC
RNAcentral lists this unclassified non-coding RNA (233 nucleotides) under plant metagenome. Its description in RNAcentral is "partial contains small subunit ribosomal RNA, internal transcribed spacer 1, and 5.8S ribosomal RNA". The stretch from base 1 to 54 matches the Rfam family "Eukaryotic small subunit ribosomal RNA", at positions 1778 to 1831 of the family's 1831-position model. The record is from RNAcentral.